GCCUAUGAUGGAUGUAACUCAGGCGGUAGAGCUUGAGACUCAAGGUCGUGGGUUCGAGCCUCAUGUUGGGCA
This is a non-coding RNA of Podarcis lilfordi (Lilford's wall lizard), 72 nucleotides long. The record is from the annotation of a GenBank genome assembly. Lineage: Eukaryota; Metazoa; Chordata; Lepidosauria; Squamata; Lacertidae.